UACAGAGGUCUCGAGCGUUGUUCGGAUUCAUUGGGCGUAAAGGGUGCGUAGGUGGCGAGGCAAGUCAGGUGUGAAAUCCCGGGACUCAACCCCGGAACUGCAUUUGAUACUGCCUUGCUCGAGUACUGGAGAGGAGACUGGAAUUUACGGUGUAGCAGUGAAAUGCGUAGAUAUCGUAAGGAAGACCAGUGGCGAAGGCGAGUCUCUGGACAGUUACUGACACUGAGGCACGAAGGCCAGGGGAGCAAACGGG
This 253-nucleotide ribosomal RNA is filed under the name uncultured bacterium. RNAcentral describes it as "partial 16S ribosomal RNA". It matches the Rfam family "Bacterial small subunit ribosomal RNA", at positions 524 to 776 of the family's 1533-position model. The record is from RNAcentral.